Molecule: long non-coding RNA, 1169 nt
Organism: Gasterosteus aculeatus aculeatus (three-spined stickleback)
Lineage: Eukaryota; Metazoa; Chordata; Actinopteri; Perciformes; Gasterosteidae
Source: Ensembl
CAUACCCUGAACCCGGCCAUUUGUCCGAUGUUCGGAUAACCUCACACAGCCGGUUUGACAAAUCAAUAGUAACAACUUGUGAAGGUAGUCCAACAGUUUCAUUCGGUCGUCAUUGGAAACUGGGUUCUCGGUUCAAUUUCUCAAGUUAUACAUUAUGCAAGGUAGACACACAUGACCCCUCUAUACUUUGUAUUAAAGGCAUGGCUAGCGGUAAAAUUAGCAUCUGUUAAAUUCUAUUUAUGAUAUUGUAAUAACAUAUUACGUCAUAUAUUGAAAUAUAAUGGUAUAUUUACGAUAUUAGUUCUAUAUUAUGUUAAAUGGUAUUAGAAAUAUGGAAUACGAUGCUAUUUUAUGAUAUUAUUUCUAUGAUAUUAAGUUAAAUUAUAUUAGAAAUAUGGAAUACGAUGCUAUUUUAUGAUAUUAGUUCUACGGUAUUAAGUUAGUUAUAUUAGACAUAUGGAAUACGAGGCUAUUUUAUUUUAGUUCUACGAUAUGAAGUUGAAUUGUAUUAGAAAUAAGGAAUACGAUGCUAUUUUAUGAUAUUAGUUCUACGGUUUUAAGUUAGUUAUAUUAGACAUAUGGAAUACGAGGCUAUUUUAUUUUAGUUCUACAAUAUGAAGUUAAAUUGUAUUAGAAAUAAGGAAUACGAUGCUAUUUUAUGAUAUUCGUUCUACGAUAUUAUGUUCUAAGUAAGUAUAAAGCCAUGUCUCCUAUAUUAGUUCUACUAUAUUAUGUCAUAUCAGUGUUUCCCCUAUGUUCCCAACUAUGGGGGCGGACGUAUCGGAGGGGGGCGUGGGUGUUGGGGCGCGCUGGGGGAUACAAUGGUAGGGAAAACACUGUAUAUGAAAUUAUGUUAUAUAAUAUUAGAAAUAAAGGUGUAAUGCCAUGUCUCCUAUAUUGGUUCCACUAUAUUAUGUCAUAUCAGUGUUUCCCCUAUGUUCCCAACUAUGGGGGCGGACGUAUCGGAGGGGGCGUGGGUGUUGGGGCGCGCUGGGGGAUACAAUGGUAGGGAAAAACUGUAUAUGAAAUUAUGUUAUAUAAUAUUAGAAAUAAAGGUGUAAUGCCAUGUCUCCUAUAUUGGUUCUACUAUAUUAUGUCAUAUCAGUGUUUCCCCUAUGUUCCCAACUAUGGGGGCGGACGUAUCGGAGGGGGGCGUGGGUGUUGGGGCG